GCCCCCUACGGGAGGCAGCAGUAGGGAAUCUUCCACAAUGGACGAAAGUCUGAUGGAGCAACGCCGCGUGAGUGAAGAAGGGUUUCGGCUCGUAAAGCUCUGUUGGUAGUGAAGAAAGAUAGAGGGAGUAACUGGCCUUUUUUUGACGGUAAUUACUUAGAAAGUCACGGCUAACUACGUGCCAGCAGCCGCGGUAAUACGUAGGUGGCAAGCGUUGUCCGGGUUUAUUGGGCGUAAAGAG
This 241-nucleotide ribosomal RNA is filed under the name uncultured bacterium. RNAcentral's name for it is "partial 16S ribosomal RNA". It matches the Rfam family "Bacterial small subunit ribosomal RNA", at positions 334 to 567 of the family's 1533-position model. The record is from RNAcentral.